Molecule: ribosomal RNA, 464 nt
Filed under: uncultured bacterium
Lineage: Bacteria
Description: partial 16S ribosomal RNA
Rfam family: Bacterial small subunit ribosomal RNA
Source: RNAcentral
GACGAACGCUGGCGGCGUGCUUAACACAUGCAAGUCGAACGGAAAGGCCCCUUUGGGGGUACUCGAGUGGCGAGCGGGUGAGUAACACGUGAGUAACCUGCCCUUGACUUCGGGAUAACUUCAGGAAACUGGGGCUAAUACCGGAUAGGAAUCCUUGCUGCAUGGUGGGGGUUGGAAAGCUUCGGCGGUUUUGGAUGGACUCGCGGCUUAUCAGCUUGUUGGUGGGGUAGUGGCUUACCAAGGCUUUGACGGGUAGCCGGCCUGAGAGGGCGACCGGCCACAUUGGGACUGAGAUACGGCCCAGACUCCUACGGGAGGCAGCAGUGGGGAAUAUUGCACAAUGGGCGGAAGCCUGAUGCAGCAACGCCGCGUGCGGGAUGACGGCCUUCGGGUUGUAAACCGCUUUCAGCAGGGGCGAAGCUUUUGUGACGGUACCUGCAGAAGAAGCACCGGCUAACUACGUG